This 1053-nucleotide long non-coding RNA is filed under the name Scleropages formosus (Asian bonytongue). RNAcentral's name for it is "lncRNA (ENSSFOG00015025222.1)". The record is from RNAcentral. Lineage: Eukaryota; Metazoa; Chordata; Actinopteri; Osteoglossiformes; Osteoglossidae.
UAUAACUGAGAAAAGGGAAAGAGAGAGGGAGGCAGGGCACCGGGGGGAGGGGGGUAGCCUGGAUGAGAGAGAGAGAGAGAGAGAGAGAGAGAGAGAGAGGGAGUGGGAGGUAGGGGGGAUGCAAGAGCUUUGCUGCUCUGUACUUCGAAAGUCACUGAAAAGCUGAGCUGCACAGGAGAGACUUAAAACAGCACCGGCGGUAUAAAUACCCUGCCUUAACUGGAUUAGAGAACGGCGACUUCCUCCGUAAAGAGAUACGAAAGGAAGAAAAAAACUGAGACAGGGAAAAAGAAAAAAGGCUUCUCGCUGAAAAGCAAUACCUGCACAACUCAUUCACACACACGCUGCAAAAAAAAAAAAAACAGCCUCCCAAAGAGUGCCGAUGCAGGAGACUGUGACUGUGUUGGACACGGGCGCCUAAAGGCACUCAGGUGAUCCCGGCUGAUGACGGGAAGGGGUCCGCUGGAGUGGUGGCGAGCAUCUCAGUCAACGUUACGAUGGUAUCGGCGGACCGACCGAAGCAGGGCAAUGGAUUUAACCCCCUUCCUCCCCUGCCUCCUAUCCAGCAUUCCUUGGCUGGACUGACUCAAGAGUAGAGGCCACUGAGCUCAGGUCUUCCAUAACCAGGCAUCCGUCUUCCUGCCAUCUCUCUGGCCGACGACAGUUCUCAGUUACCUCCGCAUCUCUACUUGGGCGACAUCACCGAGCACCCCGAAAUUUCGGUGGGGGCCAAGUGGGACACGACAGAGACUUAGGCACUCCAGAUAAGGAAGUCCGACUGCCGACUAGCCUCCAAUGCGAAGGAGAAGGUGCGCGGCCUAAAAAAAGGCCUGCCUGACAAAGUGCUCCCUCCCAGCCCAAGGGGCACCCCAGCAGCGUAGAGCUCCGUGCAUGAAAAAUACAUGUUUCCACUGCUGGAGAUGAACGCGGAGCCAUAAAUCGAUGGGAAGGGGCUCUGAUUUGCUCAUUACGGCCUUUCCUCAGUCAACAAACCGCUGAAAUGACAUAGCGCAGCAAAGCAAACACCACGCGGCGCAAAACUCUCGCACCCUC